This 801-nucleotide ribosomal RNA is filed under the name uncultured ciliate. RNAcentral's name for it is "bacterial SSU rRNA". It matches the Rfam family "Eukaryotic small subunit ribosomal RNA", at positions 3 to 829 of the family's 1831-position model. The record is from RNAcentral. Lineage: Eukaryota; Ciliophora.
CCUGGUUGAUCCUGCCAGUAGUCAUAUGCUUGUCUCAAAGAUUAAGCCAUGCAUGUCUAAGUAUAAAUAGUAUACAGUGAAACUGCGAAUGGCUCAUUAAAACAGUUAUAGUUUAUUUGAUAAUUGAAGGUUACAUGGAUAACCGUGGUAAUUCUAGAGCUAAUACAUACGUUCAAGCCCGACUUUUUGGAAGGGUUGUAUUUAUUAGACUAAAGCCAAUAUUCCUUCGGGUCUAUUGAGAUGAUUCAUAAUAACUGGUCGAAUCUCACUGGUUGAGAUAAAUCAUUCAAGUUUCUGCCCUAUCAGCUUUCGAUGGUAGUGUAUUGGACUACCAUGGCAGUAACGGGUAACGAAGAAUUAGGGUUCGGUUUCGGAGAGGGAGCAUGAGAAACGGCUACCACAUCUAAGGAAGGCAGCAGGCGCGUAAAUUACCCAAUCCUGACUCAGGGAGGUAGUGACAAGAAAUAGCAAACUGGGAGCCUCACGGUUUCACAGUAUUGCAAUGAGAACAAUUUAAAACACUUAGCGAGGAACAAGUGGAGGACAAGUCUGGUGCCAGCACCCGCGGUAAUUCCAGCUCCACAAGCGUAUAUUAAAGUUGUUGCAGUUAAAAAGCUCGUAGUUGAACUUCUGUGUGUGUUUAGUUCGGUUCGCGCCGGGCUAAGCGCAUGCAUCCGUUUGCAAGACCUGGAAGGUAUUCAUUUAUCUCCAGGAGGAGCAGACUUUUUACUUUGAAAAAAUUAGAGUGUUUAAGGCAGGCAAUAGCCCGCAUAUAUUAGCAUGGAAUAAUAGAAUAGGACA